This 165-nucleotide ribosomal RNA is filed under the name uncultured bacterium. Its description in RNAcentral is "partial 16S ribosomal RNA". It matches the Rfam family "Bacterial small subunit ribosomal RNA", at positions 1335 to 1500 of the family's 1533-position model. The record is from RNAcentral.
CUAGUAAUCGCGGAUCAGCAUGCCGCGGUGAAUACGUUCCCGGGCCUUGUACACACCGCCCGUCACACCAUGGAAGUCGGUAAUGCCCGAAGUCAGUAGCCUAACCGCAAGGGGGCGCUGCCGAAGGCAGGAUUGAUGACUGGGGUGAAGUCGUAACAAGGUACC